GCGGCCCUGCAGCGCCAGCUCGAGGCUGUGCGUGGCCGAUUGCCACAGCUGUCCGCAGCAAUUGCCUUAGUCGGGGGCAUCAGCCAGCAGCUGCAGGAGCGCAAGGCAGAGGCCCUGGCCCAGAUCAGUGCAGCGUUCGAGGACCUGGAGCAAGCACUGCAGCAGCGCAAGCAGGCUCUGGUCAGCGACCUGGAGACCAUUUGUGGGGCCAAACAGAAGGUGUUGCAAAGCCAGCUGGACACACUGCGCCAGGGUCAGGAACACAUCGGCAGUAGCUGCAGCUUUGCAGAGCAGGCACUGCGCCUGGGCUCGGCCCCGGAGGUGUUGCUGGUGCGCAAGCACAUGCGAGAGCGGCUGGCUGCAUUGGCGGCACAGGCCUUCCCGGAGCGGCCACAUGAGAAUGCACAGCUGGAACUGGUCCUUGAGGUGGACGGUCUGCGGCGAUCGGUGCUCAAUCUGGGCGCACUGCUCACCACGAGCGCCACUGCACACGAAACGGUGGCCACGGGAGAGGGCCUGCGCCAGGCGCUAGUGGGCCAGCCUGCCUCGCUCACUGUCACUACCAAAGACAAGGACGGGCGGUUGGUGCGCACAGGCAGCGCUGAGCUGCGUGCAGAGAUCACCGGCCCGGACGGCACGCGCCUUCCGGUGCCAGUGGUGGACCACAAGAAUGGCAGUCGUGGAAGGGAGAAAGGUGAAUUCACCAAUUUACAAGGUGUGUCC
RNAcentral lists this non-coding RNA (723 nucleotides) under Pan troglodytes (chimpanzee). Lineage: Eukaryota; Metazoa; Chordata; Mammalia; Primates; Hominidae. The record is from RNAcentral. RNAcentral also lists the same sequence under 1 other name.